AGGCAAGCCCUUAAUUGAAACGACAAUUCUGCUUAGCGCUUAGCAGAAACAGCCUUUACUCUUUUGGAAUUUGCGUGGAUGGGACAACUCCCCAACAUGGCCCUAGUGAGUGUGUUCAUGCUCAGCGUAAUGCUGACUGCGACAGCCGGACAAAACCUGAACAUGGUUGGUACAACUGAAGAUGUACAUCAUCAUCAACAUGAGACCACGACUCAACUCCCGGAUAUUAUAGUUGAGGAGCCAG
Branchiostoma floridae (Florida lancelet) is the source of this 244-nucleotide long non-coding RNA. RefSeq lists it as uncharacterized. The record is from RefSeq and is a predicted model, not a curated record. Lineage: Eukaryota; Metazoa; Chordata; Leptocardii; Amphioxiformes; Branchiostomatidae. The transcript is spliced from 3 exons.